GCCGCCUUAGCUCAGUUGGUAGAGCUGGUGACUUUUAAUCACUAGGUCGGGGGUUCGAGUCCCUCAGGCGGUA
RNAcentral lists this transfer RNA (73 nucleotides) under Balneola sp. RNAcentral describes it as "tRNA-Lys". It matches the Rfam family "tRNA". From Rfam's summary of the family: Transfer RNA (tRNA) molecules are approximately 80 nucleotides in length. Their secondary structure includes four short double-helical elements and three loops (D, anti-codon, and T loops). The record is from RNAcentral. Lineage: Bacteria; Pseudomonadati; Balneolota; Balneolia; Balneolales; Balneolaceae.